GAUGAACGCUAGCGGGAGGCCUAAUACAUGCAAGUCGAACGGUAAGGUCCCUUCGGGGAUACACGAGUGGCGGACGGGUGCGUAACGCGUACGAAACAUACCUUCAACAGGGAGAUACCUCCGGGAAACUGGAAAUAAUACCCCAUAGUAUUGAGAUAUCGCAUGAUAUUUCAAUUAAAGCUUUGGCGGUUGAAGAUUGUCGUGCGUCUGAUUAGCUAGUUGGUGAGGUAACGGCUCACCAAGGCGACGAUCAGUAGCUGGUCUGAGAGAGUGAUCCGCCACACUGGGACUGAGAUACGGCCCAGACUCCUACGGGAGGCAGCAGUGAGGAAUAUUGCGCAAUGGACGAAAGUCUGACGCAGCAAUGCCGCGUGAAUGAAGAAGGCCUAUGGGUUGUAAAAUUCCGUCAGAAGGGAAGAACAUGUCGGUUAGCAGCUGAUAUUGACGGUACCUUCAGAGGAAGCUUCCGGCUAACUCCGUGCCAG
RNAcentral lists this ribosomal RNA (485 nucleotides) under uncultured bacterium. RNAcentral's name for it is "bacterial SSU rRNA". It matches the Rfam family "Bacterial small subunit ribosomal RNA", at positions 28 to 511 of the family's 1533-position model. The record is from RNAcentral.